UUCGGGGUCCAAGUUGAAAUCCUGUAAGAGAGUGUUUUCGGGCGAGGCCCCGGUUCUAAGUUUUGUUGGGAAACMCGGCGUCAUAGAGGGGUGAGAAUCCCCGUAUGUGGCCGUGGCUCCGAGCCCCAUGUGAAACCUCUUUCGACCGAGUCGAGUUGUUUGGGGAAUGCAGCUCAAAAUGGGUGGUAAAUUUCAUCUAAAGCUAAAUACGGGCUGGAGACCGAUAGCGCACAAGUAGAGUGAUCGAAAGAUGAAAAGCACUUUGGAAAGAGAGUGAAACAGUCCGUGAAAUUGUUGAAAGGGAAGCGCUGGCAACCAGACCUGUCCGCGGGCGAUCAGCCGCUGUUCUCAGCGGUGCACUCGCCCCGCGAUCAGGCCAGCAUCGGUUUCGGCGGUCGGAUAAAGGCUUGGGGAACGUAGCUCCCUCUCGGGGGAGUGUUAUAGCCCCGGGCGCAAUGCGGCCAGCCGGGACCGAGGACCGCGCUUCGGCUAGGAUGCUGGCGUAAUGGUUGUCAGCGACCCGUCUUGAAACACGGACCAAGGAGUCUAACAUCUAUGCGAGUGUUUGGGUGUUAAACCCAUGCGCGUAAUGAAAGUGAACGGAGGUGAGAACCCGUUACCGGGCGCAUCAUCGACCGAUCCAGAUGUCUUCGGAUGGAUUUGAGUAUGAGCAUAGCUGUUGGGACCCGAAAGAUGGUGAACUAUGCCUGAAUAGGGUGAAGCCAGAGGAAACUCUGGUGGAGGCUCGCAGCGGUUCUGACGUGCAAAUCGAUCGUCAAAUUUGGGUAUAGGGGUACGUAUUUGGUCUCAGAGGUGGCUAGAUUCAAUGCUAACUCGUUGAUAUAGGCGAAAGACUAAUCGAACC
RNAcentral lists this ribosomal RNA (865 nucleotides) under Hypotrachyna aff. immaculata MAF 10413. RNAcentral's name for it is "eukaryotic LSU rRNA". It matches the Rfam family "Eukaryotic large subunit ribosomal RNA", at positions 130 to 941 of the family's 3401-position model. The record is from RNAcentral. Lineage: Eukaryota; Fungi; Ascomycota; Lecanoromycetes; Lecanorales; Parmeliaceae.